This 497-nucleotide ribosomal RNA is filed under the name uncultured bacterium. Its description in RNAcentral is "partial 16S ribosomal RNA". It matches the Rfam family "Bacterial small subunit ribosomal RNA", at positions 28 to 507 of the family's 1533-position model. The record is from RNAcentral.
GAUGAACGCUGGCGGCGUGCCUAAUACAUGCAAGUCGAGCGAACAGACGAGGAGCUUGCUCCUCUGACGUUAGCGGCGGACGGGUGAGUAACACGUGGAUAACCUACCUAUAAGACUGGGAUAACUUCGGGAAACCGGAGCUUAUACCGGAUAAUAUAUUGAACCGCAUGGUUCAAUAGUGAAAGACGGUUUUGCUGGCACUUAUAGAUGGAUCCCGGCCGCAUUAGCUAGUUGGUAAGGUAACGGCUUACCAAGGCUACGAUGCGUAGCCGACCGGAGAGGGUGAUCGGCCACACUGGAACUGAGACACGGUCCAGACUCCUACGGGAGGCAGCAGUAGGGAAUCUUCCGCAAUGGGCGAAAGCCUGACGGAGCAACGCCGCGUGAGUGAUGAAGGUCUUCGGAUCGUAAAACUCUGUUAUUAGGGAAGAACAAAUGUGUAAGUAACUAUGCACGUCUUGACGGUACCUAAUCAGAAAGCCACGGCUAACUACGUG